GGUAUUUUAAUAUGUAAAAUUGUGUUAGUUGGCAUGCAAUUAGUAUAUAGUUAUGUUAUAGACCAUAAUUUAUGACUCAUGCAUGCAUGCAAAAACAAGAAAAUAAAAUGAGAAACAUAGUAUGUUAAGAAUAUAGGUUGUUUUUUCAUGGAUUUAGAGUAAUGAUUUGUAGUUUUAAAAAAAAAAUGACCAGAGAGUUAAAAC
RNAcentral lists this long non-coding RNA (204 nucleotides) under Capsicum annuum. RNAcentral describes it as "long non-coding RNA (CANN_LNC005056)". The record is from RNAcentral. Lineage: Eukaryota; Viridiplantae; Streptophyta; Magnoliopsida; Solanales; Solanaceae.